UCAGGACGAACGCUGGCGGCGUGCCUAAUACAUGCAAGUCGAGCGGACAGAUGGGAGCUUGCUCCCUGAUGUCAGCGGCGGACGGGUGAGUAACACGUGGGUAACCUGCCUGUAAGACUGGGAUAACUCCGGGAAACCGGGGCUAAUACCGGAUGCUUGAUUGAACCGCAUGGUUCAAUUAUAAAAGGUGGCUUUUAGCUACCACUUACAGAUGGACCCGCGGCGCAUUAGCUAGUUGGUGAGGUAACGGCUCACCAAGGCAACGAUGCGUAGCCGACCUGAGAGGGUGAUCGGCCACACUGGGACUGAGACACGGCCCAGACUCCUACGGGAGGCAGCAGUAGGGAAUCUUCCGCAAUGGACGAAAGUCUGACGGAGCAACGCCGCGUGAGUGAUGAAGGUUUUCGGAUCGUAAAACUCUGUUGUUAGGGAAGAACAAGUACCGUUCGAAUAGGGCGGUACCUUGACGGUACCUAACCAGAAAGCCACGGCUAACUACGUGCCAGCAGCCGCGGUAAUACGUAGGUGGCAAGCGUUGUCCGGAAUUAUUGGGCGUAAAGCGCGCGCAGGCGGUUUCUUAAGUCUGAUGUGAAAGCCCCCGGCUCAACCGGGGAGGGUCAUUGGAAACUGGGGAACUUGAGUGCAGAAGAGGAGAGUGGAAUUCCACGUGUAGCGGUGAAAUGCGUAGAGAUGUGGAGGAACACCAGUGGCGAAGGCGACUCUCUGGUCUGUAACUGACGCUGAGGCGCGAAAGCGUGGGGAGCGAACAGGAUUAGAUACCCUGGUAGUCCACGCCGUAAACGAUGAGUGCUAAGUGUUAGAGGGUUUCCGCCCUUUAGUGCUGCAGCAAACGC
Molecule: ribosomal RNA, 854 nt
Filed under: Bacillus sp. (in: firmicutes)
Lineage: Bacteria; Bacillati; Bacillota; Bacilli; Caryophanales; Bacillaceae
Description: bacterial SSU rRNA
Rfam family: Bacterial small subunit ribosomal RNA
Source: RNAcentral